GGAAAGUUCUCUAACUAGAGAAUCCUCUUUUGGGAGUAUUUGGCAAGCCCUGAUCCUUGGGAUGGGUAAGACCAAUGAGACUUCCUUGGCUCUUAAAGAGUAUUGGUCCUUAAGCAAAGCUAUGAAUGGGUCAUGUUCUCUACACAAUGUGGCAUUCCUCUACUUCAGAGAGUUUUGGGGAGUCAUGGAGAAGAAAUCAGCAAUAUCUAUUAGCACAGCCGGACUAAGCAGAAAGAAGAUCCACUGAUGCUGAAGGGUACAGACAACCAUAUUUAAAUACUGGUCUGCAUUUUGAGGAAAGAACAUACGAACUAAGAAAGAAUGAGUAAAUACAUAGAGAGGCUGGGAUGAACAGGGUGAGGGAAAUUCAGAAGUAACUGUAGAGUAUAAAGUACAGCUGUGAUGGGUAAACCUGGUGAAUGUAGAGCACAAUAAUGACCACUGAAAAAAUGUUUCAACCUGAAUCUAAUGACAUAUUAAACUUGUCCUAACAUUCUUUCCAUCUCAUACAGUUAUCAUAGAAUCGUCUUGGGCCACAUAUAAAAUAUAUAAUAAAUGUAAUGUA
Numida meleagris (helmeted guineafowl) is the source of this 565-nucleotide long non-coding RNA. RefSeq lists it as uncharacterized. The transcript has 3 exons. NCBI's taxonomy places the organism in Eukaryota, Metazoa, Chordata, Aves, Galliformes, Numididae. The record is from RefSeq and is a predicted model, not a curated record.